RNAcentral lists this ribosomal RNA (490 nucleotides) under uncultured bacterium. RNAcentral describes it as "partial 16S ribosomal RNA". It matches the Rfam family "Bacterial small subunit ribosomal RNA", at positions 30 to 507 of the family's 1533-position model. The record is from RNAcentral.
AUUGAACGCUGGCGGCAUGCUUUACACAUGCAAGUCGGACGGCAGCACAGAGAAGCUUGCUUCUUGGGUGGCGAGUGGCGAACGGGUGAGUAAUAUAUCGGAACGUACCGAGUAAUGGGGGAUAACUAAUCGAAAGAUUAGCUAAUACCGCAUAUUCUCUGAGGAGGAAAGCAGGGGACCUUCGGGCCUUGCGUUAUUCGAGCGGCCGAUAUCUGAUUAGCUAGUUGGUGGGGUAAAGGCCUACCAAGGCGACGAUCAGUAGCGGGUCUGAGAGGAUGAUCCGCCACACUGGGACUGAGACACGGCCCAGACUCCUACGGGAGGCAGCAGUGGGGAAUUUUGGACAAUGGGCGCAAGCCUGAUCCAGCCAUGCCGCGUGUCUGAAGAAGGCCUUCGGGUUGUAAAGGACUUUUGCCAGGGAAGAAAAGGCUGUUGCUAAUAUCAAUAGCUGAUGACGGUACCUGAAGAAUAAGCACCGGCUAACUACGUG